RNAcentral lists this small RNA (2227 nucleotides) under Pongo abelii (Sumatran orangutan). RNAcentral's name for it is "retained intron". Lineage: Eukaryota; Metazoa; Chordata; Mammalia; Primates; Hominidae. The record is from RNAcentral.
UCGAGCAUCCCUUGGAUAGGCCGGGUGUCAGGCCUGGUCUCUCAGGCCCGUCCAGGCCCAUCUUGACGAUUCCAAGACCACCCCCUUGAGCAAGAAUGCCAUCCCCUCUGGGUCCCCCAUGCCUGCCCCUCAUGGACCCAGAGACCACCCUUGAGGAGCCUGAGACUGCCCGCCUCCGCUUCCGAGGGUUCUGCUACCAGGAGGUGGCAGGUCCCCGAGAAGCCCUGGCCCGGCUGCGUGAACUGUGUCGCCAGUGGCUGCAGCCUGAGGCACACUCCAAGGAGCAAAUGCUGGAGAUGCUGGUGCUGGAGCAGUUCCUGGGCACACUGCCUCCCGAGAUCCAGGCCUGGGUGCGCAGUCAGCGGCCAGGCAGUCCUGAGGAGGCCGCUGCCCUAGUCGAAGGACUGCAGGAUGACCCUGGGCAACUGUUGGGCUGGGUGAGUGUGGCUGGCAUCAGCUUCUUGGAGGGAUAGACCCUGGCUAGAGCCGUUGUGACCUACCUCUUCUCCUCAGAUCACAGCCCAUGUCCUGAAGCAGGAGGUGCUCCCUGCAGCCCAGAAGACAGAGGAACCACUGGGGAGCCCCCACCCCUCAGGGACAGUGGAGUCCCCUGGGGAGGGUCCCCAGGUCACCAGAAUAGAGAGGUCUGUCCAGCUCAGCUGCAGUGUGAAGGAGGAGCCCAAUGUCGAUGGACAGGAAGUGGCACCCUCCAGCCCUCCACUUGCAGCGCAGUCCGCUGAGGGGCACCAUGGACACCAAGAACCAGCCUCCACAUCCUUCCACCCACCGAGGAUUCAGGAGGAGUGGGGGCUGCUGGACCGGUCACAGAAGGAACUGUACUGGGAUGCGAUGCUGGAGAAGUACGGCACGGUGGUCUCCUUGGGUGAGGACCAGCCAGCCCCAACCCGCCCCUCUCCCUGGGGCCUGCACCCACCCUGCAGCAGGCCUAGCUGGGCAGGGCCUCUGUGCUACCAGCCCUACCCAGCUCUCCCACCUUCCAGAGGAACACCCUGUCACCUACCAGAACCAACCCCACCCCUCCUUCAUGCAAACCCCACGCCUAACUGUGCCCCCCACCCGGGCAGGGUUACCGCCCCACCAGCCAGAGGCACAGGCCCAGUCAGAGCUGGGGAUGCUGCUCACGGGGACAGGCGUCUGCAGAAGCCUGCGCUCGGGAAAUGAGAGUGAGGGUCUACCCGGCUGCCCAGAGGCCCAGCCGCCCCAGGGCCCAGGGCCUGCAGCCUGGGAGGGCUUGUCUGGGGCUGCCACUGCUGCCCCCACUGUGCGCCCAAGGACACCGCCAGUGCCCACUCAGCCCAAACCUGCAGAGACGAGACUGGAGCCGGCUGCCACCCCCAGGAAGCCCUACACGUGCGAGCAGUGUGGCCGCGGCUUCGAUUGGAAGUCAGUGUUCGUCAUCCACCACCGGACACACACGAGUGGGCCAGGUGCGCAGUCCCCGGGGCUAGCCACCGGGGAAAGCACAGAGAAGCCACCACAAAGGGAGCUGGCCUUUCCGCACCACCCCCGACGUUCACUCACAGGCCCCCGGAGCUACCCAUGCGAGGAGUGCGGGUGCAGCUUCAGCUGGAAGUCGCAGCUGGUCAUCCACCGCAAGAGCCACACAGGCCAGCGGCGCCACUUCUGCAGUGACUGUGGCCGCGCCUUCGACUGGAAGUCUCAGCUGGUCAUCCACCGCAAGGGCCACCGGCCGGAGGCUCCAUGAGCAGCCAGACAGCACAGUCCCUCGGGGCCUCGGUGUUCUCAAGGCCUGGAUACAGCCUCUGGGGCACCAGCAGAAGACUCUGGAGGCAGCAGGGGAUGCCAGAGUGAACAAGGGGUCCCAAGCCAGUUCCCUGCCCCUGGUCUGGUCUCCCCCAAAAGACCUGGGUGCAAGGAAAAGGAGCUGCUCCCUCUCUUCUUGCCCCUGCCUCCUAGAGGGAGGUCUGGGUUCCCUUCUAUGGCUGACCAGUGCCUGUGGGGUGACUGCCAAGCACCAGGCGCCCUCCCUCCCCGUGACAUGGCCUGGGCUGACAACACUCCCUCUCCUGGGACCUCCUUGCCUCAGGUGGGUGUUCAAAAACUGUGCCUUCCCACCCGUCUGUGCAGAGGCUGGGCCUGAGGUCUCAGUGUGGAGAGCAGCAGAAGACCCAGGAAGCACAGUUGGCUUCCGUUUCUCCUGCUCCGUGUGUGUUAGAAUUUUAACAUAAAUUCCACUUUCAUAAUA